GACGUAGGGAGCGAGCGUUGUCCGGAUUCAUUGGGCGUAAAGCGCGCGUAGGCGGUUUGGUAAGUCGGAUGUGAAAUCCCGAGGCUCAACCUCGGGACUGCAUCCGAUACUGCCCGACUAGAGGUAGGUAGGGGAGAUCGGAAUUCCUGGUGUAGCGGUGAAAUGCGUAGAUAUCUGGAGGAACACCGGUGGCGAAGGCGGCGUUCUGGACUGCAACUGACACUGAGGAACGAAAGCCAGGGGAGCAAACGGG
RNAcentral lists this ribosomal RNA (253 nucleotides) under uncultured bacterium. RNAcentral's name for it is "partial 16S ribosomal RNA". It matches the Rfam family "Bacterial small subunit ribosomal RNA", at positions 524 to 776 of the family's 1533-position model. The record is from RNAcentral.